Molecule: ribosomal RNA, 578 nt
Filed under: Pheggomisetes globiceps
Lineage: Eukaryota; Metazoa; Arthropoda; Insecta; Coleoptera; Carabidae
Description: partial 16S ribosomal RNA
Rfam family: Bacterial large subunit ribosomal RNA
Source: RNAcentral
AAUGGCUGCAGUAAUUUGACUGUACAAAGGUAGCAUAAUCAUUAGUUUUUUAAUUAAAAGCUUGUAUGAAAGGCUGGACGAAGUAAAUUCUGUCUCUUUUUAAGAUAAUUAGAAUUUAAUUUUUAAGUUAAAAAGCUUAAAUUUUUAUAAAAGACGAGAAGACCCUAUAGAGUUUUAUAAUUUUAAAGAAAUAAUUAAUUUAGAUUUAUUAUUUUUAUUUUUUUAUAUUUAUUUUAUUGGGGUAAUAAAAAGAUUGAAUUAAUUCUUUUUUAAAAAAUACAUUAAUUUAUGAAAAAAAUGAUCCAUUAUUUAUGAUUAUAAGAUUAAAUUACCUUAGGGAUAACAGCGUAAUUUUUUUGAAGAGUUCAUAUCGAUAAAAAAGUUUGCGACCUCGAUGUUGGAUUAAAGAUUAGUUUAGGUGUAGAAGUUUAAAUUUUUGGUCUGUUCGACCAUUAAAUCUUUACAUGAUCUGAGUUCAAACCGGUGUAAGCCAGGUUGGUUUCUAUCUUUAUAGUAGUUUUAUGUUUUAGUACGAAAGGACCAAAUAUAUAAUAUAUUAAUAUUUAAAUUUUGAAUAU